This 352-nucleotide long non-coding RNA is filed under the name Elaeis guineensis (African oil palm). RNAcentral's name for it is "long non-coding RNA (EGUI_LNC048800)". Lineage: Eukaryota; Viridiplantae; Streptophyta; Magnoliopsida; Arecales; Arecaceae. The record is from RNAcentral.
AAUCCAAUUCGAAGCUGGUUCGAAAUAAUUUCGAAAGAAUGUCAAUCCCAAACUCUUUAGAAUUUUUGUACCAAAUCUAACUUGAAAUUUUAAACUCAAUUAAGCCUAAUUAAUUUAGAUCUAUCUAAAACUAAUUAGCACUUAAAUCUAAUCUUUCAUAUGCUCCAUAGAUCAUAGAUCAAAAAUUGUUCAUCUCCGGGAUCAAACCUGAACCUUAUGUGUAGUGCUAGCUAAAUAUAGUCAACUCUUCAAUCUCUUUUGACUCAUAACUAAAUUCUUAAUCAAGUUAGCUUAUAUGUUCAAUCAAAUCAAGUUCAUCUAAAUUAGACAUAUAAAAUUAAGUCAAUUCCUU